RNAcentral lists this ribosomal RNA (428 nucleotides) under uncultured bacterium. Its description in RNAcentral is "partial 16S ribosomal RNA". The stretch from base 262 to 428 matches the Rfam family "Bacterial small subunit ribosomal RNA", at positions 1 to 167 of the family's 1533-position model. The record is from RNAcentral.
GCUUGACAAAAAAGGAGGAGGAGGCUAUAACUAGCCUCCUCCGAAAGACCUGAAAAAAAGCAAGGCAGGGACAGAGGGGAGGGGGUUGACAGGAAUGAUUCUUAAGUGUAGGAUCAAACGGUUGACUCUUUCGGGGAGAAAAAAGCCCUGAAGAGAAAAAGCCUGUGGAAACGCAGGGGGAAGUCUCGGAUCAUUGACAACUAAAUAGGAGCAGCAACGUCCAAUUAAAGGGCCCUGAUCACGAAACACAGUAACAAAAUGAAUCUGGAGAGUUUGAUCCUGGCUCAGAACGAACGCUGGCGGCGUGCCUAACACAUGCAAGUCCAACGUGAAAGGGGAGCAAUCCCCCGGUAGGGUGGCAAACGGGUGAGUAAUACAUGGGUGAUCUACCUUAGGGAUGGGGAUAUCCUUCCGAAAGGAGGGGCAAU